UGUGUCCAUCUCACAAAUGUAGAAUCCAUCUCUGCAGUCAUCUCAACCAUCGAAUUACAGUGAAUUAACAGGAAAUAGACAAACUAUUUUACCCGCAGAAUUUAUUCUCUAUUACUAUUUUGCAGUGUUAAAUUCACCACUAAAUUUUAAAUUAAAAUAUGUUGUUGUAACUUGCAUUACUGAGAUUGUAACAAGUGAUAAUAUUACACAAAUUUUAUUAGUAAUGCGUUUUAUUACUGCGUUACAGCAAAAAGUAAUAUACUACUAUAAUAUUAUUACUUUUGUAAUGCGUUACUCCCAACACUUUUUUUAGUUACUAGUAACUUUUUAGACCAAAGAUAUCCUGAACUUAAUAGAUACUACUAGUACUUUUUAAAUUUGCAUUUCAGUCCAUUAUGGUAAUCGUAUGUUUGUCACGAUUUGCUACUGUGCGUGCACACAGAGUGAAGAAUGAGGAGACCAGGAGUACUAAACCAAGGAAUUUAUUUGUAUCGCGGGAAUCACACAUAGCACAAGGAGUUGACAUAAACAAUACUGGACCAAGAUACAGGGAACUGAACACUCUUUAAAUACACAGAGACAAUAGGGUACUUAACGUGCAUUCCGCAAAAAAAAAAAAAACUGACUUGACUCGGGAACUGCUGGCGGAGGGCUUCCGGGUUGGGAUCGGAGAAUCUUCAGACACCGGAUGACUGCCUCCUUCCAGCCGAGGUUGGUGGUGUCUGGGAGCUCCGCGGGGAACAGCGUCUCUAGGGUUUCCCCCUCGAGGGAGCUGGAGCUGACGCCCUAGCGAAGGCGAUGGGGUUGGGGCUUGCUUGAGCCAUGGCAAUGAACAUCGCCCAUUCAUCCAGUUCUGUGUGGCGAAACGAGCAGGGAAAAUGUAACAAAAAACUUCUCAAAAAACGAAAAAAAAACACGGGGAAAAGGGGUGUCGCUUACUUUGUUUUAGGUCCGGUAUUCUGUCACGGGGUGCUACUAUGAGGAGCACUGAGCGAGGAACAAGGAGAGGCAAUGUCCAAUUUAAAGUCUUUAAUCGAUCCAAAGGAAACAGGAAAAAACACGUAGCACUUGUAGACACAAACAAUACCGGAUGCCGAACUGAAAAUAAGGAACACUAUUUAAACAUGACAAGACGAGACUGGGAUCAAUGAAAAUACACAUGGGAAACACCUGGGAUGAAAUGAUAACCAAUCAGGAAGGAGGAACACAGACAAAAAAUGGAACAGAGUCUGACAGUAAUAUAUAAAACUGAGUAUUUAAGAAUAAAUAUAAUAAUAUAUAUAUAUUUGCACAAAAAAAGAAAAAAAAAAUUUCUAAACUGGAGAAAGACAUAAGAAUCUGCAAAUGUUUACCUCAAAGUUCUUAAUUAUUUUUGCUAUUUUUACCCAAAUUAGUGUUUUGUGAGCAAUAAUGAGUACUCAAUUAAUGUAAUUUCUUUUUCAUUUAUACUCAUUGCCGGAUGACACCCUCGCACAGAAAUUCCACAAGUGAGGCUCAUUGAUUAUGUUCCAGGAAAUCAUUUAUAUGGACAAAGAUUUUCAGCUUUCGCUGUAGAUGUAGUAGCUGAAUAACAUGCAGAUAGCCGAUUUACUGAUGAAACAUGAAGACAAUAAACAAUGAUUGUGACAAUAUAUGGUUUCUGUGUUCUUCAAGCCAUAUCGGAUAUUUUUAUAAGAAUAAAGUAUAUUUAAAAUGCAAUGGUAAUCGGCAUAGCCUUUAUCACUGUAUAGAAUAAUAUAAAGUGGCAUGAUUUCUGCCUAUUUCUGUUCCAUGAAACCAUGUCAGAUCAUAAAAAUGAGUUAUUUCAAAGAAUUGACUGAUGUUAUGAAGUGAAUUUGGAGUAAAACAUUAUACUUUCAUUAUACUUUUGUUGGACAGCAGGUUUGUAAUCUUAUAUUGUGUUUCCAUGGUAACCAAUUAGCAAGAUAGGCUAACAUACAAACCCAGUUAGCCCUACUUAAUCAAAUUAAUUCAGCAUAUUAAUGUAUUGUAUUACCAUGUGGACUCUGAUUGGACAGUGGAGAGGUACUCAUGUUUAUGUAAUGAUCUGUUUAAAUGAAGAUAUCUCCAAAUACAUUUUUACUAGUUCUUUAUGAGGUUGAAGAUAUCUCCAAAAGAACAGGAAGUAGUUUUUAUUCUGUUUUUGAUAUCAUCUUUUAAUUAGUGACUAGUGAUUAUUCUAAUAUGACUAGUAUCUAUUUAAAUAUGACUUGUAAGACUUCAUUAGAUACUAGUACUUAUUUGUUAGAUACUAGUACUAAUUAAUUAGAUACUAGUUACUAUUUAAUAGAUACUAGUAGUUAUUCAUUAGGCACUAGUACUUAUUUAUUAGACAGUAGUAUCUUUUGCAAUUAUUACUAGUAA
This is a long non-coding RNA of Cyprinus carpio carpio, 2364 nucleotides long. The record is from Ensembl. NCBI's taxonomy places the organism in Eukaryota, Metazoa, Chordata, Actinopteri, Cypriniformes, Cyprinidae.